Molecule: ribosomal RNA, 260 nt
Filed under: uncultured bacterium
Lineage: Bacteria
Description: partial 16S ribosomal RNA
Rfam family: Bacterial small subunit ribosomal RNA
Source: RNAcentral
UACGUAGGGGGCAAGCGUUGUCCGGAUUUAUUGGGCGUAAAGAGCGUGUAGGCGGCCAGGUAGGUCUGCUGUGAAAACUCGAGGCUUAACCUCGAGAUGUCGGCGGAAACCAUCUGGCUAGAGUCCGGAAGAGGAGAAUGGAAUUCCCGGUGUAGCGGUGAAAUGCGCAGGAUAUCGGGAAGAACACCCGUGGCGAAGGCGGCUACUGGUCCGGUACUGACGCUGAGGUGCGAAGCGUGGGGAGCAACAGGAUAGAUACC